AUUGAACGCUGGCGGCAUGCUUUACACAUGCAAGUCGAACGGGCUGGGGGCAACUCCAGUCAGUGGCGAACGGGUGAGUAAUGCAUCGGAACGUGUCCCGUAGUGGGGGAUAACCCGGCGAAAGCCGGACUAAUACCGCAUAUGCUCUACGGAGGAAAGUGGGGGACCGCAAGGCCUCACGCUAUGGGAGCGGCCGAUGUCCGAUUAGCUUGUUGGUGGGGUAAUGGCCUACCAAGGCGACGAUCGGUAGCUGGUCUGAGAGGAUGAUCAGCCACACUGGGACUGAGACACGGCCCAGACUCCUACGGGAGGCAGCAGUGGGGAAUUUUGGACAAUGGGGGCAACCCUGAUCCAGCCAUGCCGCGUGCGGGAAGAAGGCCUGG
This 383-nucleotide ribosomal RNA is filed under the name uncultured bacterium. RNAcentral describes it as "bacterial SSU rRNA". It matches the Rfam family "Bacterial small subunit ribosomal RNA", at positions 29 to 419 of the family's 1533-position model. The record is from RNAcentral.